GCGGCGUGCUUAACACAUGCAAGUCGAACGCUGAAGCUUGGUGCUUGCACUGGGUGGAUGAGUGGCGAACGGGUGAGUAAUACGUGAGUAACCUGCCCUUGACUCUGGGAUAAGCCUGGGAAACUGGGUCUAAUACUGGAUACGACAUGUCACCGCAUGGUGGUGUGUGGAAAGGGUUUUACUGGUUUUGGAUGGGCUCACGGCCUAUCAGCUUGUUGGUGGGGUAAUGGCUCACCAAGGCGACGACGGGUAGCCGGCCUGAGAGGGUGACCGGCCACACUGGGACUGAGACACGGCCCAGACUCCUACGGGAGGCAGCAGUGGGGAAUAUUGCACAAUGGGCNNNAGCCUGAUGCAGCGACGCCGCGUGAGGGAUGACGGCCUUCGGG
RNAcentral lists this ribosomal RNA (389 nucleotides) under Kocuria rhizophila. RNAcentral's name for it is "bacterial SSU rRNA". It matches the Rfam family "Bacterial small subunit ribosomal RNA", at positions 39 to 422 of the family's 1533-position model. Lineage: Bacteria; Bacillati; Actinomycetota; Actinomycetes; Micrococcales; Micrococcaceae. The record is from RNAcentral.